This 253-nucleotide ribosomal RNA is filed under the name uncultured bacterium. RNAcentral's name for it is "partial 16S ribosomal RNA". It matches the Rfam family "Bacterial small subunit ribosomal RNA", at positions 524 to 776 of the family's 1533-position model. The record is from RNAcentral.
UACGUAGGGUGCGAGCGUUGUCCGGAAUUAUUGGGCGUAAAGGGCUCGUAGGCGGUUUGUCACGUCGGGAGUGAAAACUCAGGGCUCAACCCUGAGCCUGCUUCCGAUACGGGCAGACUAGAGGUAUGCAGGGGAGAACGGAAUUCCUGGUGUAGCGGUGAAAUGCGCAGAUAUCGGGAAGAACACCCGUGGCGAAGGCGGCACUCUGGGACGGUACUGACGCUGAGACGCGAAAGCGUGGGGAGCGAACAGG